UCCUGAGGACCGGCAACAUGGUGCGAUCGGGGAAUAAGGCAGCUGUUGUGCUGUGUAUGGAUGUGGGCUUUACCAAUGGUAACUCCAUUCCUGGUGUAGAAUCCCCAUUUGAACAAGCAAAGAAGCUGAUAACCAUGUUUGUCCAGCGACAGGUGUUUGCUGAGAACAAGGAUGAGAUUGCUUUAGUCCUGUUUGGUACGGAUGGCACUGACAAUCCCCUUUCUGGUGGGGAUCAGUAUCAGAACAUCACAGUGCACAGACAUCUGAUGCUACCAGAUUUUGAUUUGCUGGAGGACAUUGAAAGCAAAAUCCAACCAGAUUCUCAAUAGGCUGACUUUCUGGAUGCGUUAAUCGUGAGCAUGGAUGUGAUUCAACAUGAAACUAUAGGAAAGAAGUUUGAGAAGAAGCAUAUUGAAAUAUUCACUGACCUCAGCAGCCGAUUCAGCAAAAGUCAGCUGGAUAUUAUAAUUCAUAGCUUGAAGAAAUGUGACAUCUCCCUGCAAUUCUUCUUGCCUUUCUCACUUGGCAUAGAAGAUAGAAGUGGGGACAGAGGAGAUGGCACCUUUCGCUUGGGUGGCCAUGGGCCCUCCUUUCCACUAAAAGGAAUUACCGAACAGCAAAAAGAAGGUCUUGAGAUAGUGAUAAUGGUGAUGAUAUCUUUAGAAGGUGAAGAUGGGUUGGAUGAAAUUUAUUCAUUCAGUGAGAGUCUUCAAGAAAAUUGAGAGGCAUUCCAUUCACUGGCCCUGCCGACUGACCAUUGGCUCCAAUUUGUCUAUAAGGAUUGCAGCCUAUAAAUCGAUUCUACAGGAGAGAGUUAAAAAGACUUGGACAGUUGUGGAUGCAAAAACCCUGAAAAAAGAAGAUAUUCAAAAAGAAACAGUUUAUUGCUUAAAUGAUGAUGAUGAAACUGAAGUUUUAAAAGAGGAUAUUAUUCAAGGGUUCCGCUAUGGAAGUGAUAUAGUUCCUUUCUCUAAAGUGGAUAAGGAACAAAUGAAAUAUAAAUCGGAGGGGAAGUGCUUCUCUGUUUUGGGAUUUUGUAAAUCUUCUCAGGUUCAGAGAAGAUUCUUCAUGGGAAAUCAAGUUCUAAAGGUCUUUGCAGCAAGAGAUGAUGAGGCGGCAGCAGUUGCACUUUCCUCCCUGAUUCAUGCUUUGGAUGAUUUAGACAUGGUGGCCAUAGUUCGAUAUGCUUAUGACAAAAGAGCUAAUCCUCAAGUUGGUGUGGCUUUUCCUCAUAUCAAGCAUGUUUAGCUUGUUUAACACUAUGAGUGUUUAGUGUAUGUGCAGCUGCCUUUCAUGGAAGACUUGCGGCAAUACAUGUUUUCAUCCUUGAAAAACAGUAAGAAAUAUGCUCCCACUGAGGCACAGUUGAAUGCUGUUGAUGCUUUGAUUGACUCCAUGAGCUUGGCAAAGAAAGAUGAGAAGACAGACACCCUUGAAGACUUGUUUCCAACCACCAAAAUCCCAAAUCCUCGAUUUCAGAGAUUAUUUCAGUGUCUGCUGCACAGAGCUUUACAUCCCCGGGAGCCUCUACCCCCAAUUCAGCAGCAUAUUUGGAACAUGCUGAAUCCUCCUGCUGAGGUGACAUCGAAAAGUCAGAUUCCUCUCUCUAAAAUAAAGACCCUUUUUCCUCUGAUUGAAGCCAAGAAAAAGGAUCAAGUAACUGCUCAGGACAUUUUCCAAGACAACCAUGAAGAUGGACCUACCGCUAAAAAAUUAAAGACUGAGCAAGGGGGAGCCCACUUCAGCGUCUCCAGUCGGCUGAAGGCAGUGUCACCUCUGUUGGAAGUGUGAAUCCUGCUGAAAACUUCCGUGUUCUAGUGAAACAGAAGAGGGCCAGCUUUGAGGAAGCGAGUAACCAGCUCAUAAAUCACAUCGAACAGUUUUUGGAUACUAACGAAACACCAUAUUUUAUGAAGAGCAUGGACUGCAUCCGAGCCUUCCGGGAAGAAGCCAUUAAAUUUUCAGAAGAGCAAUGCUUUAACAACUUCCUGAAAGCCUUUCGAGAGAAAGUGGAAAUUUAACAGUUAAAUCAUUUCUGGGAAAUUGUUGUUCAGGAUGGAAUUACUCUGAUCACCAAAGAGGAAGCCUCUGGAAGUUCUGUCACAGCUGACGAAGCCAAAAAGUUCCUGGCCCCCAAAGACAAACCAAGUGGAGACACAGCAGCUGUGUUUGAAGAAGGUGGUGAUGUGGACGAUUUAUUGGACAUGAUAUAGGUCGUGGAUGUAUGGGGAAUCUAAGAGAGCUGCCAUCGCUGUGAUGCUGGGAGUUCUAACAAAACAAGUUGGAUGCAGCCAUUCAAGGGGAGCCAGAAGCUCAAGAAAUUCCCAGCAGGUGAUUCCGAAGGCGGAUCACCUAAUUCUCUGUGUAAUGAAUACACACAUAUAUAUUACAAGGGAUAAUUUAGACCCCAUACAAGUUUAUAAAGAGUCAUUGUUA
Molecule: RNA transcript, 2436 nt
Organism: Piliocolobus tephrosceles (Ugandan red Colobus)
Lineage: Eukaryota; Metazoa; Chordata; Mammalia; Primates; Cercopithecidae
Gene name: X-ray repair cross-complementing protein 5 pseudogene
Exons: 1
Source: RefSeq, a predicted model, not a curated record